ACCAAGAGCCUUCAAAGCCCUAAGCAAGUACAAUUUACUUAAUUCCUG
This 48-nucleotide transfer RNA is filed under the name Bos primigenius (aurochs). Its description in RNAcentral is "partial tRNA-Trp". Lineage: Eukaryota; Metazoa; Chordata; Mammalia; Artiodactyla; Bovidae. The record is from RNAcentral.